CGCGAAAUCUUAGUACACUGAACAGCUGGAGAAGGAUUGGAGGGCGGGAAGGAAAGGAGCCUGAAGUACUGUCACUAUUUCCCCCGAUAUCUCUGCUUCUUGGAGGGCGCCAUGGACGAGGAUUGUGAGAUAAGUGAGUGAAGGCCCUGAGAAGAGGUAGUGGCAAGGAGAGCUCCCUAACUUAGCCCUGAGUGGAGAUAUUAGUGGUUAUUUAAGGUUGGAGAGGUGGGGAGGCAAGAAGUGGCCAGCUCUCUUAGUAAGAAACUGAAGCAAAGUCGGCUGCCGUUCGCCCCUCUCGACUCCAGAACCCAGCAUUGCCCCGCCCUUCCCUCUCGGUCAGCCUCUCCCUCUGGCCCUGCAGGAGACGCACAGACAGCGAAGAAGAGGCGUCUUUCGGUGUGUGGGGCUGCCCGCGGUGGUGGUGGUGGUGGUGGUGGUGGUGAGGGGGAGAAGAGGAAGAGAGGAAGAUCAAAAGUUAUUGUUCAGAAGAAGAAGAGCUCCUCCAAGAUGGCCGACAAGGACAAGAAAGAGGAGGAAGAGGAGGAGGAGGAGGAGGAGGAGGAGAGCCCAGUAGCAAAGAAGAGGCCAGUAGAGAAGACAAGAAGACUCCUCCCUCUUUUCCUCUCCUCCUCCUCCCCCGCCUCCUCCUCCUCCUCCUCUUCCUCCUCUUCAAAGAGCAAGGAAGAGAAGGAGAAUGUUUUGAGGAGGAAGAUGAAAGAGGAGGAAGGGAAGAAGAGGAAGAAGGAAGAGGAGAAGAAGAAGAAGAAGAAGAAGGAAGGGAAGAAGAGAGAGCAGACUAGGAAGAUAAAGAAGAAUAAAAAUGAGAAGAAGGAAGAGGAGGAGGAGAAGAAGGAAGAAGAGGAGGAGAAGGAAGAAGAGGCGUGCAUUCUUGGGAGGAAGAGGAAGACUAAGAUUAAUGGGAAGACUGCAGGAGGGAAGAAGAAGAAGAUAGAAGAGGUGGAGGAGGAGGAGGAAGAAAAGGAAGAGAAGAAGAAGGAGGAGGAGGGGAAAGAGAAAGAGGAGGAGAAGGAGAAAGAAAAGAAGGAGGAGGAAGAGGAAAAAGAAGACAAAGAAAAAGAAGAAGAGGAGGAGAAGGAAGAAGAAGAAGAAGGAAUAAAAGAAGAGAAAUUAGAACCAAAACAAAAAGAAGAAGAAGAGGAGGAGGAGGAGGAGGAAGAAAAGAAAGAAAAUAAAGACAAAAUUGAAGAAAAACAAAUAAAAAAAGAAGAGGAAGAAGAGAAGAAGGAAGAGGAGGAGGAGGAGGAGGAGAAGAAGAGGAAGAAGACACCAGGGAAGAUAACGAACUAUUUUAAGAAGAAGGAAGAGGAGGAGGUGAAGAAGAAGAAGAAGAAGGAGGAGGAGGAAGAGAAAGAGGAGAUGAAGCAGAAGGAGGAGGAGGAGGUGAAGAAGAAGAAGAAGGAGGAGGAGGAAGAGAAAGAGGACGUGAAGCAGAAGGAGGAGGAGGAGGUGAAGAAGAAGAAGAAGAAGGAGGAGGAGGAGGAAGAGAAAGAGGACGUGAAGCCAGAAGGAGGAGGAGGAGGUGAAGAAGAAGAAGAAGAAGGAGGAGGAAGAGAAAGAGGAGGUGAAGCAGAAGGAGGAGGAGGAGGAGAAGAAAGAGGAAGAAGAGGAAGACGAUACCAAGCCAGAAAACGAAGAAGAAGAAGAAGAAGAGGAGGAGGAGGAAGAGAAGAAGAGGAAGGAAGAGGAGAAAGAAGACAAGAAUAAACAGGAGAUGAGAGAGCGAAAGAAGAGACUAACUCCAAAACAAAUAGAGAGAGAGAGAGAGAGAGAAGAGAGGAAGAGAGAGAGAGAGGAGAAGAGGAAGGAGAGAGAGAAAAAGAAACAGGAAGAACAGGCAGAGAAGGAGAAGAAGAGGAAGGAGAAGGAAGAGGAGAGACAAAAACAGAAGGAGGAGAAGGAGAAACUGAAGGAAGACUCAAGGAAGAAGAGACAAGAAGAAUUAGACGCCAGGAGACAGAAGAAGGAAGAAGAGCAACAGAGGAAGGAGGAGGAGAGGAGAAUGAAGGAGGAGGAGAGGAGGUUGAAGGAGGAAGAGAGGAGGUUGAAGGAGGAGGAGAGGAGGAUGAAGGAGGAAGAGAAACAAAAACAGGAAGACAAACUGAAGCACAGAUUUGCAAGUUUUUUUCUGGCAAAGAAGAGAGACGUUUGAAGACGAGGAGGAGAGAGAGACUGCUGGGAUCUUUAAGCAGUUCAGGGUGAAAGAAGACAUGCAAUUGGCACCCCUGCAUCGUGUUCACCUCACCUCACCGCAGCGGGAUGGCACUGAACGAGGCUGUGGGGGCGUCUCCAGGGGGGCAGGGGGGGCCACUGACCUACCUGGCCCUCCUGAAGUCCGGUGGCCACAGGGUCAGGUCGUCGCUAAGGACCUGGCCCCCUGCUACCUCUGUGCUGGCUGCUAAUGAUGAUGAUGACGAUGAUAUUGAGAUUCUUGAUAACAACUACACCACCACCACCGCCAUCACCUCCGCUCCCCCACAAGGGGCUACCCCAGCACCCCAGGGAGGCAGAGGGAGGGAGCGGGCCGGGCCAAGCUAUUGUCAUUUUGCGAAAACAGGCGGCCGGCUUACUGGGGCACCUGGAGCAAGCCUAGACAGUGUGUGUGGGGCUCGGCGGCCAUUUUUGAAGGAGGUAGGUGGAGGAGGAAGAGGAGGUGGAGGAGGAGGAAGAGCAGGAGGAGGAGGAGGAGGAGGAAGAGCAGGAGGAAGAGGAGGAGGAGGAGAAAGUUCGAAAUUUUGUGUUUUUUAUUUAUUUAUUUUCCUUGUGUGUGUUAUAAGUUAGUAGUAGUAGUAAUAGUAGUAGUAGUAAUAGUAGUAGUAGUAGUAUCCCCUGUACCACUUGAAGACCUCCACCAGCCCCCUCUUAGUCACCCUUGCUGUGUCCCCUGUACCACUUGAAGACCUCCACCAGCCCUAACCAGCCGUUCCCUGCCCUCGUAGCCACUGACCCCCCCCUCUCUCUCUCUCUCUCUCUCUCUCUUCCAGCCGGACCCUGGACUACGAAUAUGAUAGUGAUGAUGACUGGGAGGAAGACGAGGGCGGAGAAAGCCUAAGUGACUCUGAAGGGGAAGAGAAAGAGGAUGAGGAUCAGUACGAAGUUGAUAAUGACUUUUUCGUUCCCCACGGAUACCUCUCUGACGACGAGGGGAAGGAGGAGGAGGAAGAGGAGGAGGAGGAGGAGAAGAAAUGUGUCAGGGAUGGUGAUGUUGAUAUAGAGAACAAGAAUAAGGAGAAGCUGAAGAGAAAACAGGCGGAAUUUGAAGAAGAGAUGAAGAAGAAAACGAGAGAAUUGAAACCUCGCGUGAUUGGCUGUCUGUGGCUGACCGACCAAGCCACCAACCCGGCCUUCACCCAGCUCCUGAAGGUGUUAGACCCCCACCGAGCCGUGCAUCUGGGCCCGCACCACCCCAUACCUACAGCCUGGGCGGGGGUGGCGUCCCUGCCUGGCCGUGGCGAGGGGGCGGGGGAGGAGGAGACCACAGGAGAAGAGAAAAGUGGAAAAAAGUUUGCAAAGGAAUUUCCUGAAGAAGCUGUGGCCCCCCUGAUACACCUACUACAUGGGAACAGGCAUGGAAAAAUGUUCCUUUCAAGAGAAUUUGCUGAUUAUUGGAGGCAGAAGGGCUCGGACGGUGCUGGCGGUGGUGGUGGUGGUGGUAAGGCUUCAGUGAGUUGUAUUAUCGCAAAGAGGAAAGUGGUGCAGAAAAUACAAGAAUUGGGUACCUGGAAAAAACCACAAGAUCGAAGGUCAACAGCGCGGUGUCUUCAUGUGGUACGUAUCUUCGGACGUUCGCGAUAGAUAUGGUUGCAGCGAUCUGACCCUUCCGAACACCUGGGUUUAUCUGAAUAACCACAAAGAACGUAAAGAUGAGGACUCCGAGGUCACCCCAGAGGACCCCAGCAGGACCCCCAGGCAGUCUAAGCUCAUCCCCAUCACCGCAUUCACCCGUAAGACCCCCACCCUGCCCGCCACGCCCACCCCAGUAACCACAGCAGAGGUCACCCAGUCGACAACCCAGGGGAACUCCAAAGAUGUGGUUACGGAUUCGCCCAUAGCUCCACGCACGGGGCAGGUGGAGGGCUGUGGUUUGGUGGAGGGGUCACCCACACCUGUACCUACCUCCACACCUUCGCCUGGGUCCGCCGCCCGCCCCAUGUCCGCAGGAAAGGGGAAAAGAAAGGGAGUGCUUUUCUCGCCAAAGACACCAGCCAGCAGGAGUCAAGCCAAGAGUUUCGUGUCGUUUUUCAAGAAGGGUGGUGGUGGUGGUGGUGGUGGUGGUGGUGGUGAUUGUGGUGGUGGUGGUGGUGGUGAUUGUAUUGUUCUUAGUGAUUGAUUUUGUUUUUUUUUUUGUUUUUUUUGUUUUCUCGGAUAAUUUUUUUGUUUUUUUUUUCAUUUAUUUAUUUAUUUUUUUGUUUAUUUCCACUUUCACUGCCAUGUUUGUGUUCAUGAUUGACACACGCACACACACACACACACGCACACACACACACACACACACACACACACACACACACAC
Scylla paramamosain (green mud crab) is the source of this 4531-nucleotide RNA transcript. RefSeq lists it as uncharacterized. Lineage: Eukaryota; Metazoa; Arthropoda; Malacostraca; Decapoda; Portunidae. The record is from RefSeq and is a predicted model, not a curated record. The transcript is spliced from 12 exons.